Monodelphis domestica (gray short-tailed opossum) is the source of this 1850-nucleotide non-coding RNA. The record is from RefSeq and is a predicted model, not a curated record. Lineage: Eukaryota; Metazoa; Chordata; Mammalia; Didelphimorphia; Didelphidae.
AAGUAGUUAAGGAGGAGAACCAGAAUUCCAACCUUCUGGUUCCAGAUCAGUUUCUUUCCUCUGGACCAUCCUGUCUCUUCCUAACUGGGGUUUACAGCGUUCCUCACAGUUAGCCACAAAGAAGGCUUGUUUCUGAUCUACUGUCUAGUGGUUAAUGUCCCUGUGCAAAUUCUACUUUGCUACCAAACUGGUUAAGAGAGACAUCUAAGGUCUCCCUUAACUCAGGUUCAGGAGCGGGUUUCUAUGCCCCAUGCCAGUAGCUUGCUUUUUAUAUUGGGAUCUUUCAGUCUAUACUGGCAACGCUUUUGCCUUCCACUCUGAUAAAGAACAGAGGAAAUUGGAUAAAUUUCUAAGUUAGAGAGAAUAAUCCAACAGGGAUUCUUCACAGCCGGGCAUUGCUCCUUUCAUAAAAGACAUGAAGUGGGGAGAGCUCUUUCAACUCUUCUUUUGUUGAGCUGAACAGUACGAUUGCAGGUAAGUAAGAAAGCAAGAUGCAGGCUCCCUAAUGCUUUGAUUGUGCCUCAGACUCGCUCAUAAAUGGAUGGGCUAUUGAUAUUUCGUCUCCCAGUCCAGCUUCAACUAUUCAGACAGAACCUAAUAACAACAUGCCAGCAUCAGGCUUCAUAAUAAAAAAGGGGAGGGGGAGAGGACUAACAAGAAAUCAACUUCCUCAAGAUGGUUUCUAAGCACGAUUCCAAAACACUUUUUUUUUUUGGAACUACUGAACUUGGUUUCCAUAUGCUACCCAGGGCUGCAGGCAAGAACUAACCAUUCUAUCCUCUCCAAUUAUUAUUAUUGUUGUUAGUUAUUAUAAUAGAAGCUGGCUUCAGAUCCACACAUAUCAUUCUCCAGAGUCCCAUGCACCCCACCUGUCCUUAAUAGCCCCAUAUCUUCAAAUGCACAAGCCAUAAAUGAACUGUGACUUUUAGUACCUAGGCAUGGGGGGCAGAAAAAUGAAGACAGCUGCGUCCAGAGAACAGUGGAGAACAGGAACAUCUGUGUCCUACAGGGGUGGGACUACUUUGAAGAUUCUGCUUCUAAACCUUCCUUGGUGACAUAUCAACAAGAAGCUGUCUAAGGUUUGUUCUCACCAAAGAUGCUGUUGACACAAUCCUCCUAAAGCAGCAUGAUGUGAGGAAAAAGGCAGUAAGGCACCUAGAUUCUGGUCUGAGCUCUCCUUAGAUGAAGCCCUCAGGAGCUGUGUGACAUGGGGCAAAACACUCCAUGGCUCUGGAUUUCAUUUUCUUCAUUUGGAAAUAAAUGAUUAUUAUUGGGGUGAAAAUCCCUGAACUGAAACAAAAUCCAGGUUGGCUUGAUAAAGCACCUUCCUCCCUGGGGUUAGAAGAACCAAAGCAGUUCUAUUCUGCUUGCCUGAUCAGAGCUGGAUAUUGAAAGCAAGAGAAAGGGGCCCUACUUGACUACUUUGCCUAUGACCAAAAGGAAUUUAUCAAAAACUGCAAAUGAGAAAGUUCUGUUUUAUCCUGAUGCACUUGGCAAAGCGCUAAACCCCAAAGACAAGAUCUAUGCAUUUGAAGUCCCUGUUUUCAAUGAUUUGUUUACGAGAAAGGGAAAGUCACCUUCAUGUCCCCAAGCUAUGGACUUUAUCAUCAGAGUGGGCUGAAUUACAGUGGGCAAAGUAGACUUCAAGUCCCUUCAACUAGGAGGAUGGGGAUGGAAAGAGAUGAAAGUUCGGUGACUAGUAUUGUGGUGAUUUCUCUACCCCAUUCAGGGCUGGAGUUACAGGCGAAGAACAUUUAUUUCUCGAGCACUGUGAUUACAAAUAAAUCAGCCUGGUUCCCCAUGGAAGGUCUUUGACUGUGUUUGGCUUCUGAUUAGCGGAGUCUUUUUUC